RNAcentral lists this ribosomal RNA (432 nucleotides) under uncultured bacterium. RNAcentral describes it as "bacterial SSU rRNA". It matches the Rfam family "Bacterial small subunit ribosomal RNA", at positions 40 to 507 of the family's 1533-position model. The record is from RNAcentral.
CGGCAUGCCUAACACAUGCAAGUCAAACGUGAUCUAGGCUUCGGUCUGGUGAAAGUGGCAGACGGGUGAGUAACGCGUGGGAACCUGCCCAAUGGUAGGGAAUAACCGCGGGAAACUGCGGCUAAUACCCUAUGACCCCUAUGGGGGGAAAGAUUUAUCGCCAUUGGAGGGGCCCGCGUCGGAUUAGGUAGUUGGUGGGGUAACGGCCUACCAAGCCAUCGAUCCGUAGCUGGUCUGAGAGGAUGAUCAGCCACACUGGGACUGAGAUACGGCCCAGACUCCUACGGGAGGCAGCAGUGGGGAAUAUUGGACAAUGGGGGCAACCCUGAUCCAGCAAUGCCGCGUGGGUGAUGAAGGCCUUCGGGUUGUAAAGCCCUUUCGGCGGGGAAGAUGAUGACGGUACCCGCAGAAGAAGCCCCGGCUAACUUCGUG